CGCCCUUAGAGUUUGAUCCUGGCUCAAGACGACCGCUGGCGGCGCGCCUAACACAUGCAAGUCGAACGAGCGAGAGAGAGCUUGCUUUCUCGAGCGAGUGGCGAACGGGUGAGUAACGCGUGAGGAACCUGCCUCAAAGAGGGGGACAACAGUUGGAAACGACUGCUAAUACCGCAUAAGCCCACGGGUCGGCAUCGACCAGAGGGAAAAGGAGCAAUCCGCUUUGAGAUGGCCUCGCGUCCGAUUAGCUAGUUGGUGAGGUAAUGGCCCACCAAGGCGACGAUCGGUAGCCGGACUGAGAGGUUGAACGGCCACAUUGGGACUGAGACACGGCCCAGACUCCUACGGGAGGCAGCAGUGGGGAAUAUUGCACAAUGGGGGAAACCCUGAUGCAGCGACGCCGCGUGGAGGAAGAAGGUCUUCGGAUUGUAAACUCCUGUUGUUGGGGAAGAUAAUGACGGUACCCAACAAGGAAGUGACGGCUAACUACGUGCCAGCAGCCGCGGUAAAACGUAGGUCACAAGCGUUGUCCGGAAUUACUGGGUGUAAAGGGAGCGCAGGCGGGAAGACAAGUUGGAAGUGAAAUCUAUGGGCUCAACCCAUAAACUGCUUUCAAAACUGUUUUUCUUGAGUAGUGCAGAGGUAGGCGGAAUUCCCGGUGUAGCGGUGGAAUGCGUAGAUAUCGGGAGGAACACCAGUGGCGAAGGCGGCCUACUGGGCACCAACUGACGCUGAGGCUCGAAAGUGUGGGUAGCAAACAGGAUUAGAUACCCUGGUAGUCCACACCGUAAACGA
RNAcentral lists this ribosomal RNA (795 nucleotides) under uncultured bacterium. RNAcentral describes it as "bacterial SSU rRNA". It matches the Rfam family "Bacterial small subunit ribosomal RNA", at positions 1 to 809 of the family's 1533-position model. The record is from RNAcentral.